UGAAUCAGCUAUGAGUUGAAAGAGAUGUUAUCAGUCCUUUCCAAUUCAGAUUUAGUACUCCAGAAGUUUGCCUCAAAAUACUGCAUUUCUAUAACACACUGUCUACCUUGGCUCAUUAAAAAAAAAAAAAAAAAAAAAAAAAAAACUCUUCUUUUAACUUCAAACAACUCCGAAGAUUGUUUUCCCACAGAAUUCUAAAGAUUUUGUGACUUGUUUGUGAAGCAAUUAACUUGGACUUUCAGAAAUUUGUUCUAGAACUCUGAGAUGUCUUCAGUUUACAAGUCUGUUGCCCUAGGUGAUAGAUUCAAUCUUUUAAGUCUGUUGAUUGUAUAUACUGGAAUAUAUGUUUAGUGGGUUACAAACCCAAUUUAUCUUUUUCAAUUUAAUUUUGUUUUAUAUGUUGGGUAUGGCUCUGACUACCACUCCUAAGAAAAACAUCUUAGGUCCUUAAUGAAGGCCAUGGUUUCCCUUUGUCCUCCUAGGAUUCUGCAAAUUUUUUUAUUGAGCCAUCUGGAAGGGGACAUGGAGACAGCCUAAAGAAAGAAAUAAGUUAUGAAUGAAAAAAGCAAGUGAUAGAAGAAUACAUAUGGUAUGAUUCACAGAAGAAUACUUGCAAUGUGAUCCAUUUAUAAAAUGUUCUAAAAGAGACAAACCAACAAUAUAUUGUCUAGGGAUACAGUCAAAGGACAGGGAAUGAUUACAACAAAAAUCAAGGUACUAGUUACCUGGGGAUGGUUAAGGAGAGGGAUGUAACCUCAGAAGGGUACACAAAAUGUAUUUCUGAUAUUACUGGUGGUGUAUUUCUUAACCUGAAUCAUAAAUAUGUACACA
This 831-nucleotide long non-coding RNA is filed under the name Homo sapiens (human). RNAcentral describes it as "HSALNT0308353". Lineage: Eukaryota; Metazoa; Chordata; Mammalia; Primates; Hominidae. The record is from RNAcentral.